Molecule: long non-coding RNA, 946 nt
Filed under: Olea europaea subsp. europaea
Lineage: Eukaryota; Viridiplantae; Streptophyta; Magnoliopsida; Lamiales; Oleaceae
Source: RNAcentral
UGCCCUUUAGCCCUUUUAGUAAGACAUGAAUUUUUCUUUACGUUGUUUCUUCCCUAUAAACAAAAUUAGCAUAAGGUUGUGUCCUGCGCAUGUAGCUAAUACUUUAACAAAAUUAGCAUAAGGUUGUUCCCCGAGCAUGUAGCUAGUACAUUAAAAAAAUUAAAGUAAGGUCAUGUCCCGCGUAUGCAGCUAAUAUUUUAACAAAAUUAGUAUAAGUUCGUGCUCCGCGCAUGCAGCUAACACUCAACCAAGUUAGCGUAAGGCCGUGCACUGUGCAUGCAACCAACACUCGACUAGUAAAGCCAAACACACAGUGCCAAGACCUCAAAUGGCAGCAUGUCAAGAUCGUAAGGCCCCGAUCUCUUCGAUCCUAGAAUGCCCUCAUAACAAAGAAUAUUAAGAUCGAGGUUAGGACUCGAAACAAAGUUUAUCAUAUAAGACCAUACCCGAUCUUAUCCACAAGCCCGAGUUUAUCCAUUAAAUCGUCAGCGACCUAAUGGUCGCCCCUCGAUAUGGGAAAUUGAAAAAUCAGUUUACAGUACACAACACUAUUACUCGAAUUUGUUGACCCCAAACAAGAUGUUCCUACUCGAAGCUUGAAAAUACAUUUUCGAGCUUAGAAAUCGAAGCCCAAUCUUCAAAGUAAAAAGAACGAUUUGAUUCAGUAUUAUUAAGGUAUACAAUAUCCUCAAUCUAUCACAUACCCGGGCUAAAUAUGUCAACAUUCGAGUUAGUAAUACUAAUAAUCAAUCUUUUAACGAUCCAUGAGCGAUCCUAACAUCCACACACGAACUUAAAAUUCAUGCACGAUCUCAUAACACAGGUAAGUUGCAUGAACUAUACAAACGAUCAAACUAGUGAUAAAUAACCAUCAUACGCGAUCUUAUAUAAAUAGAAUAGAAUAAACCAACGUCGAUCACAUUUCAAAAAUAGGCAAUAGGCCUCA